GUAGGGUCCGAGCGUUUAUCCGGAAUCAUUGGGCGUAAAGAGCUCGUAGGCGGUUCAGCAAGUCGGCUGUGAAAGUUCGAGGCUCAACCUCGAAAUUGCAGUCGAUACUGCUGUGACUUGAAUUCGGUAGAGGAGAAUGGAAUUCCCGGUGUAGCGGUGAAAUGCGCAGAUAUCGGGAGGAACACCAGUAGCGAAGGCGGUUCUCUGGGCCGAUAUUGACGCUGAGGAGCGAAAGCGUGGGGGAGCAAACAGGAUUAGAUACCCUGGUAGUCCACGCCGUAAACGUUGGAUGCUAGGUGUGGCGGUCUACCAACGACUGCCGUGCCGAAGCUAACGCAUUAAGCAUCCCCGCCUGGGGAGUACGGCCGCAAGGCUA
Molecule: ribosomal RNA, 376 nt
Filed under: uncultured organism
Description: partial 16S ribosomal RNA
Rfam family: Bacterial small subunit ribosomal RNA
Source: RNAcentral